UCCUCCCUCUUUCUUCGUGCUUAACACAUGCAAGUCGAACGGUGAAGCGCCUUCCUUUUUGGUGGGUGUGGAUGAGUGGCGAACGGGUGAGUAACACGUGAGUAACCUGCCCCCUUCUUCUGGAUAACCGCAUGAAAGUGUGGCUAAUACGGGAUAUUCUGGGUCUGUCGCAUGAUGGGUCUGGGAAAGAUAUUGUUUCGGUGGGGGAUGGGCUCGCGGCCUAUCAGCUUGUUGGUGGGGUGAUGGCCUACCCAGGCGGUGACGGGUAGCCGGCCUGAGAGGGUGGACUGUCACACUGGGACUGAGACACGGCCCAGACUCCGACGGGAGGCAGCAGGGGGGAAUAUGGCACAAUGGGCGCAAGGCUGAUGCAGCGACGCCGCGUGAGGGAUGGAGGCCUUCGGGUUGUGAACCUCUUUCGCCAGUGAAGCAGGCCUGCCUCGUCUGUGGGUGGGUUGACGGUAGCUGGAUAAGAAGCGCCGGCUAACUACGUG
This 494-nucleotide ribosomal RNA is filed under the name uncultured bacterium. RNAcentral's name for it is "partial 16S ribosomal RNA". It matches the Rfam family "Bacterial small subunit ribosomal RNA", at positions 36 to 507 of the family's 1533-position model. The record is from RNAcentral.